GGAGGGAUCAUUAGUGAGUUUACGCUCUAUAACCCUUUGUGAACAUACCUAUAACUGUUGCUUCGGCGGGUAGGGUCUCCGUGACCCUCCCGGCCUCCCGCCCCCGGGCGGGUCGGCGCCCGCCGGAGGAUAACCAAACUCUGAUUUAACGACGUUUCUUCUGAGUGGUACAAGCAAAUAAUCAAAACUUUUAACAACGGAUCUCUUGGUUCUGGCAUCGAUGAAGAACGCAGCGAAAUGCGAUAAGUAAUGUGAAUUGCAGAAUUCAGUGAAUCAUCGAAUCUUUGAACGCACAUUGCGCCCGCCAGCAUUCUGGCGGGCAUGCCUGUUCGAGCGUCAUUUCAACCCUCAAGCUCUGCUUGGUGUUGGGGCCCUACAGCUGAUGUAGGCCCUCAAAGGUAGUGGCGGACCCUCCCGGAGCCUCCUUUGCGUAGUAACUUUACGUCUCGCACUGGGAUCCGGAGGGACUCUUGCCGUAAAACCCCCCAAUUUUCCAAAGGUUGACCUCGGAUCAGGUAGGAAUACCCGCUGAACUUAAGCAUAU
Molecule: ribosomal RNA, 544 nt
Filed under: Colletotrichum sp.
Lineage: Eukaryota; Fungi; Ascomycota; Sordariomycetes; Glomerellales; Glomerellaceae
Description: eukaryotic LSU rRNA
Rfam family: 5.8S ribosomal RNA (bases 186-339)
Source: RNAcentral